Molecule: long non-coding RNA, 380 nt
Organism: Hippocampus comes (tiger tail seahorse)
Lineage: Eukaryota; Metazoa; Chordata; Actinopteri; Syngnathiformes; Syngnathidae
Exons: 2
Source: RefSeq, a predicted model, not a curated record
UUAGACAUCGAGCACUGUUCCUGGCUAACGUAGUUGUUAGCUUUCCGUACCACCGGGAUUUCGCCGACCGUGUAACGUCGUCGGAGUCUCGUUCAACAUUCUUCUGGCCGGGUCUUUUGCGGAGUUCUGAUUGAGGACAGCGCUGAGAUUAGCGUGCCUUCAGUGGAGUGGAUUCCAUUAAGGUGCCCUGACUUCCGAAAGUGCUGGAAAAGGGGUACAGUGGUGGUGGCGAGCAAACCAAAAGAAUAUACAGGUAUAUUACAUUUGACAAACUGUUUUUUUUUUGACUGAUUAGUGUUGGUAAUGUUAAGAGGAAUUUAAUUUGUAAGACAAGAGUUGACGAGAACAUUUUGUGUUUAGUUAUUUAAUUCAGAUUGAAA